RNAcentral lists this ribosomal RNA (54 nucleotides) under Streptococcus agalactiae CCUG 49072. RNAcentral's name for it is "partial 16S ribosomal RNA". The record is from RNAcentral. Lineage: Bacteria; Bacillati; Bacillota; Bacilli; Lactobacillales; Streptococcaceae. RNAcentral also lists the same sequence under 2 other names.
CUUUUAAUGAGAGUUUGAUCCUGGCUCAGGACGAACGCUGGCGGCGUGCCUAAU